Long non-coding RNA from Pseudopipra pipra, 12449 nucleotides. RefSeq lists it as uncharacterized. NCBI's taxonomy places the organism in Eukaryota, Metazoa, Chordata, Aves, Passeriformes, Pipridae. The transcript has 3 exons. The record is from RefSeq and is a predicted model, not a curated record.
UUCUGUUCUCACAAAAUUAACUGAAGGAUCCGUAUCUAAGAGAAACACAGGUUGCUGCUGAUGCCUGAUAAUUUUGUUGAAGUCAACAACCGAAACAUCUGGACUGCCAGAUAAACCACAAGGAUGCAAUGGAUGAUGCUGCUGCAAGAACAUAUACUUUGUCAUUGGAUAAUUAGAAAUACGCAUCAGUAGGUAAUUGGGUGAUUCAUAUCAUACCCUUGUAAGUGUAAGCUAUAAAACUCCCCAAAGAAAAAUUGCUUGCAUGUGCCCAGUUUGGCUGGGACAUCUCAUGCACACAAUGAAAUAUGCUAUUCAAUCAUCAUGGGCCAGUUGUGAAUUUUGCAACAAGAGCAGGAGGCAUACGAGGUCAUUUAGCUGAGCUUUGUUUUAGCUUUCCUCUUGACAGCACAAGCAAGAUGCCCCCGAGCAGCCUGAGCAUCAGGAAUACUGCAGGAGCAGGCUGGCCUUGGCUUCCAUGGAGAAGUGUUUGUCCCCAAAAAAAUUCAGGAAAAAGCCAAGCUCCCUUGAGCAACAUUUUAGCACUGGGAAUGCAGAAACCUCCAUGCUGGUGGUGCUGGGUUGAGCAUAGAAUGCUAGCAGGCCUCCCUGGAGACCCCUUUCCUUGUGUCAGGGGGCAUGAUAAAGCUGCAGCAAACUGUGUGGUCCUGACAAAUUCUGUGUGCUUGUGUGACAAAUGUAAACAGCACACACACCUGGCUGAUGAGCAACCAAUUCUCUUGCUAUUUUUUCCACAAUAUUCAGUUUACCACGUUCUCCCAUCAGCAAGUUUGGCAGUGCUGAGGGUACUAUUCAUCAGCUUCUGGGCUGGAAAUAACUACUAGCCCACUGACAGCCUUUAGCUGUUUAACCUCAGGAGUUGCUUCUGAAGCAGCUCAUAAACUGCCAAACUUCACAUACCUGUGACAAGCCACCCUUAAGUGGAAGGAAGCACACACACAGGCUGUAUCUCCAACUAGCAUCAGGCUAUCCCAGGGAGCAGACAGUGUAAGAGUGCUGCUCUUACACUGGUUUGACUGCAGGAAGCUGCAGAAAGGAAUUCAGUCACAUCAGCCUUAACAUGGUGAGAAACUGUACUGAUAAACACCAGGCUAUAAACAGUGACUCAGGAAGUGCUUGAACAUGGACUCUCCACAAAGAGUCAGGUCCUCAGCUUGUGCUGGUACAUGAGGUUAUUCCUCCCCAGGGGCAGGACAGCAGCUGGCUGAAUGUCAUUAGUUUCCUAUAUGCUGAUUUCCCCAACCUGUCAGAUAUUUCCAUUCAAAGGGACAUGAGGUACAUCAACCACUAUUCCCAGUUUUGAAUUAUCAGCAAACUUGUGAGAAUGCACUUUGCCCCAUGUCAUGCAAUGAAGAUGUUAAGUGGUAUAACCUUAGUAUUGACCACAAGGGACUGGUCUCCAGCUUGUCUUUGUGCUGCUAAUCCUUUGAAAUCAGAAGCUGAGGCUGUUUCCAUUCUACCUCACUAUACAAUUAUCCAGUCCAUACUGAGCUGGACAGAAACUUGAUUGGUUUCAAUAGCAAGCUGAUCUAGUUGAACACAUCCCUGGUUAUAGCAGGGAGGUUGAACUAGAUGACCUUUAAAGGUUCCUUUCAAUCCAAACCGUUCUAUAAAGACUAAGGCAAAUAAGGCAUUGAGGACCUUAACCUUUCUAUGUCUGCUUAGUAGUGUGAAGUUCUGGUUCUGCUGUAUCUCAAAAAAAAAAACCCAAACAAAAACCCACAAGAUGCUUAAGAGACAAAGGUGUUUUUAAAAGUUACAGUGGGAAGUCUUACAUGUCUCUUCCAAUGCUGAGAAACAUGCAAGGAUGCAGACCUGGACAGUUCUCUCUGGUAGAGCCACUGCUUUGCAGAAUUCUUUGUGGUGAGAUUCAAUAGCCUCAUUGUUCAUCACAUCUUUACAGUAUUCAUCGAAGUAAAACAAAUCCAUCAGUCUCUUAUUGUACGAUACUGAAUGUUCUAGAGGGUACACCGAGGUUUGCUGGAAACAUUACACUUUUACACAUUCCCGUGGGAACAAGCCCUUACAAAGAAUACACACAGAUUGCAUUGUUAGUGGCAACACACGUUGUAUACUCAAGUUCAGCAGUUCCUCAUGCUAACACACAUGCAACUCUACAAUCAAAACCUAGUUAAAUUCUGCCUAAAAACUGCUUGAAAUCAGUCUCUUCCUUACAAUACCUUCUGUGUUGGCCCACUGCAGCAUUCUUCUUCACCCUGUCCCAGCCUCAUUGAGGAGUGAGCCCACGUUUUCUAUUGCAGAAACACUGCUUGUUUUUCACAUCUCUUUACCAUAUUCAACUCCAGAUGGAUUUGGCUUUCCUAACCCCCAUCCUUGCACACAUGGACAGUGGCCCUAUUCCUUCUGAGUCACCUGUGCUUGUGUCCACCUCCUGUAUGCUUCCUUUCCAUGCUUAAGUUCAGUCAGGCCCUCCUGCCAUCUUUGCAGGUUUUCCUGCACACCAGAAUGGACCAUUCUUGAGCUUGUAGAAAGUGAUUCUUUGUGGGGUAAAAAAACCAAAAAAAACCAAAAACCAACCAGCUCUUCUGGGCCUGUCUUCUUUUCAGGAUCAUAUCAAGUGGAUUCACCCAAGUAGAUCCCUGAACAGGCUGAAGUCUGGCCUCUUGAAGGCCAUGACAAUAGUCCUGGCCUCUUCUUCCCUCUUUUCAAUGGAGUUCACUUCCAAUAAAACCACUCUUUUUAGUGUUGAAGAAUGCUGAGACCAACCCUAACAACAAUCCUAAAUUAAUCCCAUCACAGGGAUAUGAAAGACAGAUGUUUCCUGACAAAGACUGGCACUGACAAGGAUGUGAAAGACAGAUGUUUACAGAAUGAGAAAAAACAAACAAGUGACAACAUCUUAUUUAAAAGUAAAGCAUGUUCUGUUGACUUGACAAUGGCUAGCCUAGCAACACAUGACUGACAACAAAUGACUUUGUACUAUGAAGGCGUGGUCCCAUUUUCCAGCAGAGAGGACUUCUAGGAGUAUGUGUGGAGAUUCCUCCCUUGAGUAGGGACAUCCUUCAAGGUAACUCUUUGAGUAUGAGCAAAAAUUAUUUGCCCACAGCCAUCAGUAUGGUUUAAAGCUCUUCCUACCAGACUGACCAUCCUGUUGGCAAAGAUGCUCUCCCAUCUUAGUCCAGUGUAUCCCAGUUCUUCCAAGUGACAUCUACUCAUCAAAGAGCAUACCACAUUCAUAGAAAAUAAAACCCCACAAGUUGACUGUUGAAUUCCAAAAUUUGGAUAUCAGAAAAGGAAAUUGCUGGGUUUAAACAGAAGCCAUGGGCUACAGAAGCUGGGAAAAAAAACCCUUUUCAUUGACCUCAUCUCUGUGGAAUUUUCCUGCCUUCUCCAGCAGGAUGUGAAGAGACUUUUUCAUAAUGUUAUCACAUGUCCUAUUGUAUCUACUGCUCCCUGCAUAAUCCUGUCUCAAGAGAUGUGAAUAUCUUCCCCUCAUGUAAUUCCCCUAAGAUAAAGUGGGUUUUCCCCUAUGAUAUAUGUGGUAAGACCCCAAAUUUGUUAACUUAGGUUUUCCCCUUCCUUGAAACCCCCUAAUUGUAAUAAUUGUAAUAGUUACAACUCCCUGUAGAAUAUGUAGACCCUAAACCCUUUAAAUAUGAACUUGUAAGUCCAAUAAACCAUUCCAGUUUCUUGCCCCCAAGCUGGGAUCUUCUUAGCUUUAUUGACCUCCACAGCUGACCAGCAGGUCUGAAGACACACCAGAUGGGCCCUUAUGCACUCUGGAGUGCCAUCUCUCCAGAGCUGUAUCAUACUUGAUGCUAUCCAGGUCUCUCCAGUAAUUUGAGAGGAUUUGAUGAUUACAUGAAAAAGCAGCAGGGAUCAAUAAUCAGCCAGAGAUGCCUCUGCAGGCUUUUCAUGCUUUCAUAAAUCACAGACCCUCAAAAGCAGCGAAGUCCCCUGGACAACAGGUCAGCAGACAGGCCUGUUCCCUACAGCAGAGCUGUCAGCAUCAAGGAAACAAUCCUUAAUGCCUCCUUCUGGUGCUCCUGUUGCCUGAAAACUGGGUAUAAAGAAACUCUCUAAAACCCUUUUUUGAGUUUUAGGGAGCAAAACAUUCUUUUGUUUCAGCAUGCUGGAUGCACAAGAGAAUAUUGUCUCUAAAUUGUGCAUACCUGAGUUACAAAAGCCUCCUGCCUUUAUUCAGUUACCAAAUUAACAAUUCAAACAUUACCUAAUCCUGUCCCUCCCCUUGACACAAAUCCCAUUUUGAGUCAGUGGUCCCUUUGAGUGGUUGUUCAUGAUCUUUGGGUUGUUCAUGGUCCCUUUGGGUGGUUGUGCCUCAUCUUUUUCAAGCUGUCCUUUUCUUGAACUCUUUUGAACUUUGACACAUCUUCAUGCCCUUUGGACUGUGUCAGAGCACAAGGUCAGUUUUGACUUGGCCUGAUAGCUGUGUUCCUUUUAUCAGUUCUGCUUCAAAAUAGGGAGACCUUCUGUCACUUAAAAAAUUCCUUUCUGCUGAGAGUACUGACCUUUAAUGACAAGCUAUACAGGUCAAGCUACAUAGUUUUAAGCUACAUUUGUUAUUCUAUAUGGCUACACUUCUGCAAGGCUCAGGCUCAGCCAGCUCAGAUGGUUCACUUGACACACUUUUCUACAAACACAAGGCUGAAGAUAUUUUGUAAUUACAAAUCAUCAGGCAGUGCAUAAUCAUUUCUCCUACCAGCAGGAAUCACAGGCUUUCAACAUCUUGAGAGUUUUUACUUCCCACCCUGAUAGAUAGACUCAGCCUGCCCCUCCCUCAGUACAUACCUCCAUGGUUUCUCAAAGCCAGAGGAUCUCAGAGAAGAUCCAAGUCUCUUUCACAACCUCUGAUGAUCUAUAGCACACUAACCUCGUCCUGUAGCUCCUUUGCUUAAUAAAACAUCUCAAAAGGUGUGCUUCUCCCUUCAGGCUAAAGGGAGGGAGACCAGCACCCUUCUUCUGAAGGUCUGUCUUGGGUUGAGACCUCCACCGUUGCAGGGGAAGUUUUUCCAAGAGCUGCUGAGGACAGCAGCUUAUAGCACACCCUGACCGCUGCUGAGGAAGCAUGUGCUGUUAGAAGAUAAGGCACCAGCCCUUCCCACACCAAAUGCCCCCCAAAACCUUUGUGCUUUAAGCCCAGCUCUUAUAUAGUCUUCAGCCUGAAAGGGUGUCAGACCCUCUCCAAUCAGUGUCAGCUGGAACUAAACCUCCAAGGGCCCUUUAAUCAAAGACAGCUGGGGGGUCGUCAGCCCCGCUAGACCUUGCUGCAGCUCAAGGCCUCCUGCAGCUCUCUGUUCCCAACAGCAGCAGACAACCUCAAGCUCCUCAAAGGCUUCCCAAAAGGGUUCCCAGAGGUCCUUUGACAGUGAUCCCAGAAGGCGGCCCCAGCAGAUCUAGAAGCAAGACCCCAGAAACUGCUGUGCUAUUUGCUGCCUCUUCUGGCUGUGCUUAAGAAGGAAUGUUUUUGUGACUAUUAGAUUUUAUUAGCGAUAGUGUUAAAUUUUGUUAUUGCUCAGUAUUAACAUGACUGACAAUUAAGUUAGUAAGGAACAAGGUACCAGAAUGCAUGUUGGAAUAGUAAUUUUAAAGAGUUGAAAUGGUUAGAAAGGUAUACUGCAAUAUCAUCGUGAUCUGAUCCAACUGGCAGCCUGUGUUGACACCUGGGUACAAAACUAGACAUCCUUGGGGGCUGUCUGACACUGAGUACAGGCAGAGGGUAUGUCCUGGGUUUGGCUGGGAUAGAGUUAAUUUUCUUCUUAAUAACUGGUACAGUGCUGGGUUUUGGGUUUAGGAUGAGAAUAAUGUUGGUAACACAUUGAUAUUUUUGUUGCUGCCAAGCAGGGCUUACAUUGACUCAAGGCCUUUUCUGCUUCUCAAAUCACCCUACCAGUUAGUGGACUGGGGGGUGCACAAGAAGUUGGGAGGGGACACAACCAGGACAGCUGAUCCCAACUGACUCAAGGGAUAGUCCACAGUGUCAUGCUGAACAAUAAAACUGGGGGAAUGGUGACCCACUGCUCUGGACUAGCCUCGAGAGCUGGAUACUAGAUCCUACACAAACAUUUGUGGUUUGUUUUCUUUAAUGAUAGCAAGAUAACACUUGCAAACAAAGCAUUAAAGAAUGUCAGAGUGAUUCUGUAUACCUAGUUCUGAAACAAUGGCACCCACAUAAGUAGUUCAUUUUGGAACAUAAAGAUUGUGCUGUUCCAACAGUUAUUAUACAAUUAUUCCUGUCCAAAAGUUAUGUGACUCCUACACACUGGUUGGCUGAUUUUCCCACAGGGAGUGUCUUUCUUUCUUGGACAUCCAUCAAGAUACACUUUUUUAAUAACACAGAUUGUUUUCCAGGUGUGGUAUAUUGACAAUCUUUGCCCAUGCUACUUAUGUGUAACAAACAUUUGUGUUUUAGGGUCAGUGAAAAGGUUGUGCACACAUUCUUGCCAAGGUUUGUUGAAUUUUUUUAGAGAUUAUGCACAAUGCUUUUGCAUUAUAGUUAUUUCUGUCUACUUAUGGCAGUGUUAACUGUCACACUGAUAUAUUGGGUUUACUUAAAUGCAUUUGAUUUUCUUCAGGUUCUGACACCAGAUGGACCUAUAGUGAAGUCUGUAUUCUCCGGUCCAGGCAAAGCUACAUUGGUUGGUCCUGAUUACACUACAUACACUGAAUCCACAGUACUGACUUGGGCUUUGAGAAGGAUAUCACUCAGUUAGGAAGUGAUUUCAGAAAGCAAGAAUGAUGACAAAAUAAGAGAACAAAGAUGAUAGGCAGCAAUUUUACUGAAGGUAUAAGGAUGCUGGAGGGAGCAACAUUCCAAGGCAAUCCAUUGCUUUUUCUAGAAUUACUGCUGGUUUCUACAGGAUCUGUCUAAAAAAGUAACUAAAGCUCCUGUCAUAAUCAACCAAGUGGAGGAGCCCAAGGUCAAUUAAGAGGAGCCUAAGCCAUGCAGAGAAGUCUCAGCAGCUGUUUUGUGACAUGCUGGUGAUUCUGGUGAGUCCCCUCUGAUACAUACAUCUUUGGUGCUUGAAGUAUGAAAGAAUGUGUAGAAGUGAAAUAACUUUUAAAAUAAAAGCACUCUCCUCUUCUGUAAUAUCUCACCAUGAAUUUAUAUGGUUUUUUUUCUUGUAUUAAUAGCUUACAACAGUCAGACAGUGUAUUUGAUAAAUCAUCUCAGCUCUUACACACUUCCAUAACCUAGGAAUAAGGCAACAACAUGUACCAUAACUAAUCAAGCAAUUAAUUCUUGAACAUCUACUGCUGGGUGAGCUCUGCUAGGCUGGCUUGUAUUGACCCUCAGUUCCUGAUAGUUAAAGGAUAUAUAGGAUGUACUUUUUCUCUGAUGCCAGAAGGUUUCUUUGCCUGGCAGUCACUAACUGUUCCUGCUUUCUGAUUCAUUAGCCUGUAUGAAUUGUAAAAUAAAUGUUCCUUCCAUGCUAACAAGUAUUUCUCUUAGGACACAGUAUCUACUGUUCUUAGCCAGUGCAGCUUGUGUCUGAUCAGUGGACUCUGUCACUUGAAACUGGACUUGAUGCCCAGCAGUAAGAAAGCAGACCUUGUGUCCUGCUUACUGCAGAUAAUGGGAAGAUGGUUUGUACAGCCCUCAUUUCGGAGCUGGAGCUGAGCUGAGGAGAUAUUUUUGUAGGAAACCACAAGCACUGCUGGGGUACAGUGAAUUCAACAGUGGGUGAAGUAAAACCAGUGUUUCCUGGGUUUUAACUCCAACAGCUCCAGUAAUGGUCUAGCCUAAAGAGAAAAAGUAAGCAGAACUAUGUUGGUGAGUAUAUGAGAACCUCGUUAUUUCAUAUAAGGAGGAAGUAUGGAGAAGGAAGGUGUGAUGAUUUGGAAUUUGAGAUGGAAGAUAAGUGUUGAAGACAGGCUGUGUUGUGUGCAUUUCUCUUUGAGUAGUGUAGAAGUUGAUUUGAAUGGCUAAUCACUGUGUUACUGAGGAGUCUGCCAGCUCUCCAGUAGCAUACUUAUCUGGUAUCUGCAUCACAAAAACGUGCUCAAUUGCAAAUUGUAAAUGCCAUAAGCCUUUAAGAGGUUGAUAGGUGUUCAUAAAUGGCAAGAGGCUCCCGAAGAUGGAAGACAGUGAAGCAAGAUAUGUUAGCUAAAAGGGGGGCUCUGCACAGGAGUGGCAAGAUCUAGGUUGGAGGCAGCACUGAAUACCUGGAGGCAGAAGCUCAGAUUUGGGAAGGAUGAGUAAGAGCAGUUUAACUAGCAAGUACCUGAGAUGCUUUAUCAGAGGUCUAAGGCUUUAAGGAAGGGUUUGUAGUUUAACAGGCUGCUGCAUAGAAGCAGCAGGCUAGAAGAUUUAACUGAAGAAACCUACUCAUUAAGCUGAACAAAUUUGCAAUCAGACUGAGUAAAUAACAUUUGACUUGCAAUCCCAGGAUAUAGCCACUGGGACUCAAGUUUCUACAGCAGGACCUUGCAUAGAAGCCUGCAGCUAGAAAGUUCAGGUUUUUAAGUAGUGUGAAUUUUAAUGUGUCUUUAAGAUGUUUAGACUAAGUUCAUUUAAUUAAAGGAGUUUUACACAGAAGAGUUUAUGCCAAUGUCAUUGACCAGUAUGCAGCAGACAAUAAGAAACCGAGCACUAAUGAGUUGCUUAACACUGGAUUGUUUAGCAAUAAGAGUUCAGGUAUGAAAUUAAGGCAAGAACAGUUCAGAGAGCCAAAGAGCUGAAGCUACGGGACGAGACCAGCAGCACAGAGAAACGUGGCACUGAGAUAGAUUGUGGGCAGGGCUUGUGAGGGAAGGCUUUGCUGGGGCAGAAGCUGAUCAGCCAUCCUGAGGCAGUGAGUGGUGUCACUGCGGUGAAACAUUACAGAGGAGCUGAGGCUAGUGGAGUGGCUUUUCUCUCCUUUCCUUUUCACUCGUUUCCCCAGUGAUAAGUGGGAGAUGUGCUGCACUUGAACUCCUUCCUGAAGCUUUAUGCUCACCCCAAUAGUCCUACACACAUACUGUAUUUUGCAUCUUCUUUAACAGACAUUUUCCAGCUGUUGUUGUCUUCUCUUACUCUGUAGGUGUUUCACCACUCAUGCUGUAGCCCUCACUUAAAAUGCUCUGCCUCUCCUGAACGCUUAGGUGCAUUCACAAAAAAUAGCUGUAAGUGCUCCAUUGAUUUGCCCAGGUAGAAAUAUGUAAUUUACUUCAUUUUCAUGAGCCCCUGUUGCCAGAUGAAGAACUAUUUACUCAGCUGGUGUUAAUAGAAUGCCUAUUUUGCAAAAUCAGUAGCCUGUGGAACUGCACAAUUAAAACUAUGUUAAACAUCAACCAAAAAGGGGAACAAGAAGUACACUUCAUUGAUCAAGGGACUCCAAAUAAUGUGCAGUGCAGGUUAUGCCAAAUCUUCUUCAUAUUUUGGAGGUAACAUUGAGUUCAUCAAGUGGUUAGGGAUAAUUCUUGGGUCAACAACUGCCAAAGACCACUUGAGGGACACUCAGGACAAGAAAAUGCGUGUGUCAGUGGGAGGGGAAAUAUGUUAAUAACUUCAGGGAAAAUUAUUAUCAUAUGUAUAUUUCUUCUAGGAAAAUCAAUGAAUACAUAUGUAAACUAUAGGAUACAAACAUGAGCCUUUUCUGAGCCUUUUCUGAGCCUUUUCUGUAUUUGGGAUGCCCAAUAUUUCAGAGGAAAUGUCCCCUUGUGCAUCCGACACCAAAUAAAAAAUGCCUGUUUCUUAACACUGCGUUGGGGUUAAGGAGUCUUUAGGCUGUUUUUCAGUAACACCCUUACUAAUUCACAAGCACUGGUUGUUUUCUGUCUAGUAAAUAACACUUUCUCUGAAAUAAUGAUGAGAUGACAAAUAUAAUAAUCUCGAUGGUGGUCUGCCUUGUAAAUGUUUAGAUUUUAUUUGAACCUCUCUGUUGGGAGCUGAUCUCUACAACCACUCAUAAUUCUUGUGAAUUCUAACAAGGAUGUAGGAAAGAGGGCUUUACCCCUGAGAAUAGUAAUGUAACUGGCUGUAAUGUAAAAGGAGAACAAAUUUAAAGCAAAACAGUGUAAAUGGGACAGAUUUGAGAAGGGUCAUCAUGGAAAGACGAAUGUCUAUGAAAUUUAGAAAAUUUGUGGUGUCCCGUGAGGGCUUGGAGCUGGCUGACAUAUUUCUCCUUUUUUCUGUAUGGUGAUGCAAAUGCUGGGACUGAAGUGCCUGUGAGCAGGAGUAUGUAAGAAGGGCAGCUCCCCAAGACACUCUUCUCUCUGGCUGCAGCAUGUGGCUUGGGUCAUGGGCCCAGCUGGUGGACAGAGGUUCCCAGUGCUGAGCAGUAAACAAAGUUUUGUCUGCUAAACUGUGGUUUAGAUGUGCCUAGGCACUUCCUAAUUUUUCCAGUGGUGUCACAAUGUUUAAGUGUUUGUGGUGUUUAUGAGGCUGGUUAACUUAAGCUGAACAAGAUGCCCCUGCUGUUCAGGUGUUUGUGAAUGACAACAGGCAGCAGUAAAGAAACUAUUUGUAAGGCCAAUGUAGAUCUUCUGUCUGGUUUGCAAGUCUCAAACAAAAGCAAGGCAAUGCAAUGCUGCUCACCUUGUGUGCAAAAUAUACAUCUCCUGGGAAAAGGUAUGGGCUACUGCUAGAAACUAUGCAAGCAAAAGUCAAAGAUGAUUGAAUAUUUGGCACACUGCAAAGGCUCUCAAAUGAAUUAAAACUUGAAAGGCAUACCAUGUAGAUCUGUGAAGGAAGUGGAGAGUAAUUAGAGCAAUGCGGGUCUUUUUCUAUGUUGCUCUACCUCUUAAAACACCUCUAAGAACAAUUUGAGGGCCUGGUAUUGGUUGCAGGUGAGUUAUUUUGAUCAAAGUCUUUGGAGAAAAUAAUUUCUUUGUUCUGUUCUUUGUGCUUCACUUGGAAACUGUCAAAGAUGACAAGGCUUGAAAAUUCCUGCAAAUAAAGUUCUUUUAAUUAAAAUGAGCAUAAAUCAGACUUUCACCAAACACCCUAGAGUUUACAAUUGACUGCAGGGAAAUUGCUGGCAAAUUCUGUUGGCUGACCAAAGGGCAUGUGAAGCAGAGGAACACAUUCUUCAACAUCACUGCUUCUCUGAGGAUGGCAUCCAUCAGGAAUUUCUGUGUUUGUCUUCACUCCCCUGGUCUCUGCUUUGCCUCAAGAGCAUUUCUUUAGCUUAGGCUUAACCCUUUGAGACUGCCAGCCUGGCUAUCAUGUCCUUGUCUUCCCUUUUUAAAUCCAAUUAGCUCACAUGUGUUAUGUAAUUGAGAGAAAUUGCAUAAGUAUCAAUAAUACUUCCAGACUGAUUUGUCUCUGUUAAGUUGGCACCAAACUUGUAACACUUGCUGCUGAGGAAAUAACAUACCAGAAACACAGAGAAAGGUGGAUGAUGCUGCAUUAUUCAUGCCAUACAGAAAUGUGUAUUCAGUGAAAUGUGCCAGAUGUUAAUACAAACAUUUUUAAGCAUUGACUGGUUUCUGGGGUAUUCUGUACAAAGCAAAAGAAAAGCUUGCAGAAACAGGUUCUAUGGGAUGUUUAGUUAAUGGUUGCUGUGGGAAAAGCAGCUGGGAGAUGGUUGUCAGUGCCUGAGGUAAGAGACAACAGUAAAGUGUGUCAUGGGAAGAAAUCACAAGUGGUAGAGGAUGAAGGUCAGAGAGAUGCUUUUGGCUGCUCAGACAUCCAUGAAAUCUGUAAGAAGUAGUCUAAUCUAUUUUAGCUUAAAUAAGGAGAAACUUCCUGUUAGCUGCAUAGUUACACAAUACUGAAACUGUUGAGAAGAAUUUGUUUCAAGUGUCUUCCUCUUUGAUGGAGGGGAGAAACAAAAGAAAAUUUAAGGACUAAAUGUAGCUUAUGAAAUCUAACCAUAAAAAGCAGUGGAAAAAGGCUAUUUCUACUUCAGAGUAGAAUGAGUCAACCUAGUUUUGGAAGAAUCUGGUCUUAUGAUUCCUAACCACUUUGACAAGAACAAGAUGAAUGUGUCUUUCCAGACAAGCUCUAUCUGCUUGCAGAUGCAAGGAAAUGGCUAAUUGUGGGUAAUAAAACAGCUGGUUUUAGGUGAUAAAAUGACUGAAAGAAUCAAUUAACUUGUAGAAGAAUAGUGAGAAAGGAAAUAACUUUUUAAGAAUAGUGAGAAAAGAAAUGCCUGUAUGUAAUAGGCAUUUUUGGGAAGUCUGUACCUUCUGGAUACUUUAGCCAAUGAGGAAAGGAAGAGCUUUAUAUGACCAGGAAGAAUUUAGGAUAAAAAGGAGGCUACAUCCUCCGAUUAUUCAAGAGAGAUUUUCAUUGGGUGUGCUCAGUGAGCUCUCCCUUUAUUCAUGAACAAAGUUACUUUGGCAGAACUCCUCUGUAUCCUCUGUGGACACCAACCUCUGGCAAUGAGAAUUUUCUGCACAAAUUGCUCACACUUUGCUUUACUUACUGCCUAGUUAUGUCUUGUGCAAAGCCACAUUACCUGUUACAAUGCUUUGUGCCUAAAAGUGACCAGAAAUAUCAUAUUCUUAAGCUACAAGAGCAUAAA